CCUACGGGAGGCAGCAGUGGGGAAUAUUGCACAAUGGGGGAAACCCUGAUGCAGCGACGCCGCGUGAAGGAAGAAGUAUUUCGGUAUGUAAACUUCUAUCAGCAGGGAAGAAAAUGACGGUACCUGACUAAGAAGCCCCGGCUAACUACGUGCCAGAAGCGGCGGUAAUACGGAGGAAGCAAGCGUUAUCCGGAUUUACUGGGUGUAAAGGGGGCGUAGGCGGUUUAGCAAGUCAGAAGUGAAAGCCUGGGGCUCAACCCCGGGACUGCUUUUGAAACUGUUGAACUAGAUUGCAGGAGAGGUAAGUGGAAUGCCUAGUGUAGCGGUGAAAUGCGUAGAUAUUAGGAGGAACACCAGUGGCGAAGGCAGCUUACUGGACUGUAAAUGACGCUGAGGCUCGAAAGCGUGGGGAGCAAACAGGAUUAGAUACCCGGGUAGUC
RNAcentral lists this ribosomal RNA (440 nucleotides) under uncultured bacterium. Its description in RNAcentral is "partial 16S ribosomal RNA". It matches the Rfam family "Bacterial small subunit ribosomal RNA", at positions 338 to 795 of the family's 1533-position model. The record is from RNAcentral.